GCCGGGCAUGGUGAUGAAUGCCUGUAAUCCCAGCAGCUCAGGAGGCUAAGGCAGGAAGAUGACAAGUUUAAAACCAGCCUCAACAAUUUAGCAAGACCCUGUCUCUA
RNAcentral lists this small RNA (107 nucleotides) under Marmota monax (woodchuck). Lineage: Eukaryota; Metazoa; Chordata; Mammalia; Rodentia; Sciuridae. The record is from RNAcentral.